UGUAAGGCUCUCUCAAUGAAAAUAAAUAGCCGCAAUAUAACGUGCUAAGGUAGCAUAAUAAUUUGCCUAUUAAUUAUAGGAUAGAAUGAAAGAUUCAACAUUUUAAUCAAUUUAUUUAAAAAUACAAUUUAAUUUAAAUUAAAAGUAAAAAUACUUUUAAAUAUAAAAUAGACGAUAAGACCCUAUCGAACUUUACAAAGUUUAGUUGGGGAAACUAAUUAAUAAUAAUUUUAAUUUAAAAUUUUACAAUAAAUUCCUAUUAAAUUAUAAUUAACAAGUUACCGUAGGGAUAACAGCGCAAUUAUUUUCUAAAGCUCUUAUUUUAAAAAUAAAUUACGACCUCGAUGUUGAAUUAUAGAAACUUCUUAAAGCAAAAUUAAAAAAGCUAGUCGUCGACCUUC
This 401-nucleotide ribosomal RNA is filed under the name Enielkenie acaroides. Its description in RNAcentral is "partial large subunit ribosomal RNA". Lineage: Eukaryota; Metazoa; Arthropoda; Arachnida; Araneae; Anapidae. The record is from RNAcentral.